AUUAAACUAUGAAAAAUAUACACCUAUUUCUUUUCCAGCCCUUCCUGAAUGAGAAUGCAUUUGGGCUCUCUGCCCAGUUCUGAUCUGUAAGCUGCCUCCUCAGUUCCUCAACUCCAUGUAGCCCGGAUCCUACCCCAGCUUCCAGGCCUUCUACUCACCCCUGGGGGAAAAUGAGAGGAAAUAUUUAAUAUUCCAGAAUCUUGUUCUUGGAUUCAACGUGAAAAUAUUGCUCACCUGAAACUCAUCAAUCUGAGACCCAAGGGAUGCCAAAGUCCCUGUCAUCUGCUCAUUAAGCCAAGGGCAUCACACAAAGGCCUACUUCUAACACCUCCUGAAUCUUAAUGAGAGAGAGUAUUGAUCUCUACAAUUUAUGAUCCUACGGCAGUGGGGUGGCUUUUCACACGUGGAACCUCCUCACUUGUGCUCAAUG
This 430-nucleotide long non-coding RNA is filed under the name Bos grunniens (domestic yak). Its description in RNAcentral is "lncRNA (ENSBGRG00000007285.1)". Lineage: Eukaryota; Metazoa; Chordata; Mammalia; Artiodactyla; Bovidae. The record is from RNAcentral.